GAAUUAAUGUAAACUGCAUACUGCUUUGAACAUCGACAUCUUGAACGCAUAUUGCGGCCAUGGGUUAGCCUGUGGCCACGCCUGUCCGAGGGUCGGCUUAUAAACUAUCACGACGCCCAAAAAGUCGUGGCUUGGGUUUUGCCAGCUGGCAUGAUUUCCUCCGUGAGAGAUCACGCGAGGCGUCAGAUCUAUGGCGUUUCCCUAAUGUAUCCGGACGCAUCCUUUUGUUGGCUGCGAGCCAUGGUAGGAUGAGGUGACGGAAUCGUGGCUUAGUUUAGCUAUGCCCCGUUUUCAGCAUGUUUGGCGCUAAUUCAGUCGGCGUGCUCAUGACUACGGGUGGAGCUAAUAUUGGGUUGGUGCUCCGUUUUCAGUGUACUUGGCGUCAGUCGGUAUGCGCAUGAUCUCGGAGGUAAUUCCAUACCAGGCGCGUUUCGUUACUGCCAUUCUGCUUUGGUUUAACGUCACGGGGGGCAAUGCAUCUGAUGCUUUGCAUCUCACUUGGUGAGGCGCACAUAGAGACGUAACUAUGGCUUGUGGAUGAGCGGUGGAUUAUUGUUGGGUUGGUGCUCAGUUGUCCUCAUGACUUCGGGGGUAAUUCCAUACCGGGCCCGCUGUACCACAUACCCACAGCAAUGCGCUUCUGUGUUGUGUACUUGUCAGGCGUUAUGCAGUACUUUGUGAGACGUAUGCACCGUGGUGUACCUAUGGCUUGUGGUUUGAACGGUGGAUUAUUUAUUGGGUUGGUACUCAGUUGUCCAUGCGACUUCGGGGGUAAUUCCAUACCGGGCCCGUUCUGCCACAUACCCACAGCAAUGCGCCGGUGUAAUUGUCUUUACCUGACCUCGGAUCAGACGUGAUUACCCGCUGAACUUAAGCAUAUCACUAAGCGGAGGAGAAGAAACUAACCAGGAUUCCCUUAGUAACGGCGAGUGAAGAGGGAAAAGCCCAGCACCGAAGCCUGUGGUCAUUUGACCCCUAGGCAAUGUGGUGUUCAGGUCAGCCCGCGGAGAUACUGCUCCACCCUAAGUCCUAUAAUGAGUAAGGUUACUCGGACGUGGCCCAAUGAGGGUGAAAGGCCCGUGGGGGUGGAGACUCAGAU
Molecule: ribosomal RNA, 1099 nt
Filed under: Philophthalmus lucipetus
Lineage: Eukaryota; Metazoa; Platyhelminthes; Trematoda; Plagiorchiida; Philophthalmidae
Description: eukaryotic LSU rRNA
Rfam family: Eukaryotic large subunit ribosomal RNA (bases 838-1099)
Source: RNAcentral